CUAAUUUUUAAAAUUUCAUUUGAAGAUCAAAUUCAUGCUGGUGAGAAGGGUAGUAGGAGCCUAUUACCAUAGCUAGAGAUGAUGCCACUUCAGAAAAACAAUCUUAGUCAAUAAAUAGGAAUUUUUCGGUUUGCUUAGAUUUUACCUAGCAGCUAUUAUGUCAGCAGGACCACCAGGAUAUGGGAAAACAGGACUAGAAGAUGUACGACAGCAAAGACAUGCAGAGACAUGCAGAGACACCUGGAAGGAAGCUAGGCCCUCAACAAAUUGGAUUGCAACCUAAUAUUUAAGGAAGAUUCCCUGAAGGAGGAGACGCCUGGUGCAGACACUGGGAAUGAAGUUGGUCUGCAGGUUCUGUGGUGUGUGGUGCUGAACUCGUGGAGACUUUCCCCAUCUUUCUGCAUAAAUAGUUCUAAAGAUCUAUAUUGUACAGACUAUGUUCUCUUACCACAGUGCAAUUUUGUUAGAAAUAAAUUACAAAAGAAUAAUUGCUGGGAGAGAAUGCUGCAUGGAUUUCUCAUGUUUCUGUAUGUCUUUUGAGCAGAGGCAUUGUUAGCUUUUGUUCUGGCCUGUAUUUUCAAGGAUGUUUAUAUAGCAAACAGCCUUGGAAAAUAAAGAUAGUAUCUCCCUUCAUGGCAGAGGGCAGGUUUAUUUGCUGUCCAGUAAAAUGAAGAUAAUAUCUCCCACUGGGGCAGAAGUUGGGUGGGUUGGCUCACAGCCUCCUUAUUGGAGUUUCCUAAACUCAGGGUUCCUCAGCUGUGACUUAACCCCACCUCCAGCAUCCUCCUGGACCCAGGUAUGUAUCACUCUUGUGGGGCUUGUGAAGCAAGGGGAACUAAUGAGAAAUGAAGUAAUUAAGUUCUUUGUCUCUGAUCCAGGAGUCUCAUGUCUUCUGCCAGCAUUUUUGAAACUGUGACUGGC
RNAcentral lists this long non-coding RNA (921 nucleotides) under Pan troglodytes (chimpanzee). Its description in RNAcentral is "long non-coding RNA NONPTRT005417". The record is from RNAcentral. Lineage: Eukaryota; Metazoa; Chordata; Mammalia; Primates; Hominidae.